AGGCGACUCUCUGGGCUGUAACUGACGCUGAGGAGCGAAAGCGUGGGGAGCGAACAGGAUUAGAUACCCUGGUAGUCCACGCCGUAAACGAUGAGUGCUAAGUGUUAGGGGGUUUCCGCCCCUUAGUGCUGCAGCUAACGCAUUAAGCACUCCGCCUGGGGAGUACGGUCGCAAGACUGAAACUCAAAGGAAUUGACGGGGGCCCGCACAAGCGGUGGAGCAUGUGGUUUAAUUCGAAGCAACGCGAAGAACCUUACCAGGUCUUGACAUCCUCUGACAAUCCUAGAGAUAGGACGUCCCCUUCGGGGGCAGAGUGACAGGUGGUGCAUGGUUGUCGUCAGCUCGUGUCGUGAGAUGUUGGGUUAAGUCCCGCAACGAGCGCAACCCUUGAUCUUAGUUGCCAGCAUUCAGUUGGGCACUCUAAGGUGACUGCCGGUGACAAACCGGAGGAAGGUGGGGAUGACUUCAAAUCAUCAUGCCCCUUAUGACCUGGGCUACACACGUGCUACAAUGGACAGAACACAGUGCAGCGAAACCGCGAGGUGUAGCCCAUCCGACAAGUCUGAUCUCAGUUCGGCACUCAGGCU
Molecule: ribosomal RNA, 587 nt
Filed under: Paenibacillus polymyxa
Lineage: Bacteria; Bacillati; Bacillota; Bacilli; Caryophanales; Paenibacillaceae
Description: bacterial SSU rRNA
Rfam family: Bacterial small subunit ribosomal RNA
Source: RNAcentral